UGUGGUAAUGGCGAGUGCGUCUGUUCCGCAUAUUUGAUGUUGUGAUAAAGUUGGGCGUACGCGUCCGCCUUAUCAAUUGUGACAAAGUUUUCUGUUUCGAAUAUGUUCACUUGGUUUUCGCGUAUACGUUUUGUUUUUAAAUUAAUAUAACCGACAAUAAGAAAAUCAAAGUGUCCAGUGUACAAUGUCGGUGAUUCAUUAUCGGAAUAUGGAAGUACACGACAGAUAAUAGAAGAUAAUCGUAUCAUAUAAGAAAAAUUUACGACUUCGUGUAUCUUGUCACACGUGCGUAUACAUCGUCUUAUUCAUUUAUUAAUACAUUAGAAACAACUUUAAUCGUGCUACAACAUCACGAAUAAUCAAUACGUUCUCGUAAACGUAUAACGCCAUAAUAUGAAAUCGGAGCGAGCAUGAAGGUGACUGUGUGUUUUGACAACGUUCGAGUGGUGGUUCCUUGCGGGGAUGGAACCCUACUGGUUAAGGACUUAAUGCACGAGGCUAUUCUAAGGUACAAAAAGGCAACUGGAAAAAAUGAUAAUACAUUAUCUAUAAACAGCUUAUCUUCUUUAACUGGGGGUGGCCUGUUGGAUCCAGAUGAUAGGUUAUGUGAUGUAGCCGAUGACAGAGAACAGAUUGUUGCUCAUUUUGUAAGUACAGACACUACCCAUGCUGGUGGUGAUGGGGCAAGCUCGGUUGGGACAAAUAGCCCAGAUUUUUUUCACUCCGAUGGUAAAGAAUUAUCUUAUCCAAUCGAUAUGCAUUCCUCUGUAUCUACCAGUAGUAUUAAAAGAGAAAGCACUAAAAGAUUGUCAAUGCACGCUCUAUCAACCAGAGAACCUUGUUUAACUACAUAUUCUGCUCAAUCUCUACCCAGAGAAUCUCGGCGCAGAGAACCAUUGGGACAAGAUGCCAAAGCAUCGUUUGAAUAUGCGAAUGCCAAUAUUGAAUCUAGAGAUCAGGGGGAAAUUCGAAAAAUUGUGAUAAAGAAUGAAGCAGGACCGCUAGGGCUUCACGUGGUGCCAUGUUAUGAUUUAUUGGGUAAUGAUCAGGGACUCAGAGUCGAAGGUAUCGAGCCCAAUGGCCGAAUUGCUAGAGAUGGGCAAAUUGAUUUGCACGACAAAAUCAUAAAAAUAAAUGGUCACAACCUAUUGCAUAUACCAUUCUCCAAAGUGCAAGAAAUAUUUCGAACCUGUAUGACUGAACCAUGUUUGCAAAUUUCUGUGGUCAAGCAUAAAAAACCACGUGAAAAAUCGCUGCAUAAAAAUCAUGGAAACACCAGUGGAGGAUCAGAAAAGACAGAAACGGAUGACAAUGUCAAAAGACUUCAAUGUAGUAACUACAACUUGUUACAGACUGCUAACACUCGUAAAAUUGGACGUAUGAUAGAGAUAGAAUUAACGAAAGGAAGUAACGGUCUUGGAUUUAGUGUCACCACACGUGAUAAUCCUGCAGGAGGACAUUGUCCUAUAUAUAUUAAGAAUAUAUUAUCGAAAGGUGCUGCGGUCGAGGAUGGCAGAUUGAGAUCUGGCGAUAGGCUGUUGGAAGUAAAUAAUAAAGAAAUGACCGGCAAAAGUCAAGCGGAAGUGGUUUCGCUUCUUAGAAGUAUUUCGCCUGGCGGGAAAGUGAGAAUGGUGGUAUCGCGCCAAGAAGAAAUUUCCUCCAGCAUUCCAGAUUCUCAAUCUCAUGUUACCACUGCGAGUCAAGCUUCGGAAAUUACAGAUAACUCAAAGUAUUGGAACACAUUGAAUACGUCACCGAUAAAGAAGAAUACUGAAACACAAGAUAAAAUUAAUACCCGUAAUUAUGAUAAAUGUACAUUCAAGUCCGUAAAAUGUUCGGAAGAUAUUGUUUUGUCACCGCGAAAAAAUCGCAUGAUAUUAACUUUGGAUAUACCAGUACACGACUCGGAAAAAGCAGGAUUAGGUGUCAGUGUAAAAGGAAAGACUACAAACACGGAUGAGAACACUAACAUGGAUUUGGGGAUUUUUAUAAAAAGUGUUCUUCACGGUGGUGCAGCUUCUAGAGACGGACGGUUAAGGACGAAUGACCAGUUGCUCAAUGUUAAUGGGGUAUCUUUGUUGGGAUUAUCUAAUUCCGAUGCAAUGGAAACGCUCAGAAGAGCAAUGCUCAAUACAAAUAGCUCUGUAACAGGUGUAAUUACCCUCACAAUAGCUAGGAGGAUAUCAUCGUACGAUGGAAACGAGAAGAAUCUUCCUGAGAAUUUGACUCCUCGCUGUAAAUUAGAGUCCGCUAACAGUAUAUACAUAUCCGAUUCUACAAAAGCCAAUGAGGGCAGAGUGAAAGAAAAGAAUAGCUUAAACUCACAGUCGGAUAUCUUAGACAAUGGGGGUUUGUUGUCUUGUGUAACAGCAUCUCCUUGGAAUCCAGUCAUCGACAGAUUAACAGAACAGUAUAAUAAGAACAGUCUAAGGAAUGAAAGUUACUGUAUUGCUACCAAUAAAACGUGGAUCGAACCUGCCAGUAACGUGAAAAAGGUCACCGUAGGACAGCGCGACGAGCGGGUGGAACAAGUAUUGUUAGAAGAUUCCAGUGAACCACAGUGCAAUGAUGCUAAGAGAAACACAGACGACAAAGACAGUCAGUGUUCAGGGGACCCGACUUACGACAGUCAGUUAUCUCUGGAGGAAUUUAACUCCUCUUCCAAUAAGUUUUCCCGCGACGCGUUAGGUAGGCAAAGUAUGUCGGAAAAGCGGCACGCCGCUCUCGAUGCAAAGAAUACGGACACUUAUAAGAGAAAUAAGAAAUUACGGGAGGGUCGCGAGAAUAAAAAUCAGGAACAAGCCAAUCAAAAGUCCGCGAAUCAGGCGACAGAGUCGGAGGAUCAGACGAGACGAGGAGGUAAAUCGGAGAAUUUUGAAAAGAAUAAAAGUAAAAGUACCACCGAGGGUAGCACGGCGAGCGAUAGUAAUAUAAAACGAUACGAAAAGUCCGUGGAUCCUGCUCAGUCGGAAUACGUGUAUACUAUACCUGGAUGUAAUAAUAAGUUCACUUCGCCGAGAAAACAUUGGCUCGUGGAUGAUGUGCAUGGCGGGAUAACGAGUGGCAAUAAUUUUAAAGACGAUCGCGAAGGUUUUCCAAAUAGUAGGGGGGACGUGAAACAGGCUUCUCUCAAUUCAGCUUUAGAUGAUCGAUAUAAACGUUCGCGAAAAAAGGGUGGCAUACGGUCGAUGCUUCGAUUAGGGAAGAAUAGAAAAUCGCUCAAUUUCGGUGACAGUAUCGAAGCCCGCCACGAAUCCAGCAAUUAUUGCAGUGGAACGAUCAAUUAUAUCGCAUAAUAUUAGAAGGGUAUUUAUAACGUAGAUACGGAAUUCACGAUAUACAUAAACGUACUUGUACAUCUAGAAACAUAUUAUACACGAAUACACAUUUUAACACUCAUCGCACGUUACGCGCGUACACGUACACGUACACGCGACCAUAUAGUAUAUAUUUACAUGUAUGAUUUGUUCCAAAGUGCCUUAUAUCGUUGCAAGAAAUAAUUCAUUCUGUAUAUAUAAUUUUUGUACUCGUCUUCAAUUCGUACCGAUCAUGUAUCUAUUUUUAAAAUAAAAAAUCGUGCACGCAAUUCAUGCAAUGUGUAAGUUGAAUAACCAAUAGUUCCGAAUUAGGAAUUAUUCCGUUGUUACUAAUAUAUUAGGUUCCCAGAAAGUAUUUUUACUACUUUGAUCGUUUUGAUCGUUGUUUGUAAAUUCGAAUUUCUACGUAAAAAAUCAUCGAUACAAACAGUCCGUAUCGGAGCCCGAAAACAUUGUGCAUUUCAGUUAACACCAAAUCAGUUGUUGUACCAACAGAAGCGUUAUAGAGGCAAGAUAAAUCUUAAAAAGCCGAAAGUGUUUUAUAAGAAAGCUGUAGUGAAUGCACUUUUAACGCCAUUCUUUAUCAA
This is an RNA transcript of Colletes gigas, 3904 nucleotides long. It is a transcript of the gene named 39S ribosomal protein L10, mitochondrial, with no coding region annotated. The transcript has 2 exons. The record is from RefSeq and is a predicted model, not a curated record. NCBI's taxonomy places the organism in Eukaryota, Metazoa, Arthropoda, Insecta, Hymenoptera, Colletidae.